CAUUACUGAAAAACUUUAAACCAGUUUUUUUAUAUCCCAUUGUUUACCUACCCUGUUGCUUCCACUGGACAUGUUUUACCUUGUGGUAAGACCUUUGGCUUGUGUGAAUAACCCUAGCCGGAGAGUUGCCAGUGGUAAGAUCAUUUACCAAAAAACUUGAUUGAAACACAUUUGUCUGAAUCUUUUGCUUCAAUGAAAUAAAACUUUCAACAACGGAUCUCUAGGCUCUUGCAUCGAUGAAGAACGCAGUGAAAUGCGAUAAGUAAUGUGAAUUGCAGAAUCUCGUGAAUCAUCGAAUCUUUGAACGCACAUUGCGCCCUAUGGUAUUCCGUAGGGCAUGCCUGUCUGAGCGUCAGCUCCCCCCCACUCAAGUAUCCUUUUUGGGAUGUUUGGAUUGCUUUGGAGAGGCGACUUUCUAUUGGAGUCGCCCUUCAGAAAUUCAUAGGCAGUAUGGUUUGCACCUGAACCAGACGUAAUAAUAAUAAAAUCGUUUGUUUAGGUAUAAUUAAUUGUACUUGCCUCAACCCACCCAUUUUUACCUUGGGUGACCUCAGAUCAGGUAGGGAUACCCGCUGAACUUAAGCAUAUCAAUA
RNAcentral lists this ribosomal RNA (593 nucleotides) under Pezizaceae sp. LM2496. RNAcentral describes it as "eukaryotic LSU rRNA". The stretch from base 202 to 355 matches the Rfam family "5.8S ribosomal RNA". Lineage: Eukaryota; Fungi; Ascomycota; Pezizomycetes; Pezizales; Pezizaceae. The record is from RNAcentral.